RNAcentral lists this ribosomal RNA (2882 nucleotides) under Acinetobacter baumannii. RNAcentral describes it as "23S ribosomal RNA". It matches the Rfam family "Bacterial large subunit ribosomal RNA". Lineage: Bacteria; Pseudomonadati; Pseudomonadota; Gammaproteobacteria; Moraxellales; Moraxellaceae. The record is from RNAcentral.
GUUGUAUAGUCAAGUAAUUAAGUGCAUGUGGUGGAUGCCUUGGCAGUCAGAGGCGAUGAAAGACGUGAUAGCCUGCGAAAAGCUCCGGGGAGGCGGCAAAUAUCCUUUGAUCCGGAGAUGUCUGAAUGGGGGAACCCACCUACUUUAAGGUAGGUAUUGCAACAUGAAUACAUAGUGUUGCAAGGCGAACGAGGGGAAGUGAAACAUCUCAGUACCCUUAGGAAAAGAAAUCAAUUGAGAUUCCCUCAGUAGCGGCGAGCGAACGGGGAUCAGCCCAUUAAGUUAUGUGUGUUUUAGUGGAACGCUCUGGGAAGUGCGAACGUAGAGGGUGAUAUUCCCGUACACGAAAGGGCACACAUAAUGAUGACGAGUAGGGCGAGGCACGUGAAACCUUGUCUGAAUAUGGGGGGACCAUCCUCCAAGGCUAAAUACUCCUGACUGACCGAUAGUGAACCAGUACCGUGAGGGAAAGGCGAAAAGAACCCCUGUGAGGGGAGUGAAAUAGAUCCUGAAACCGCAUGCAUACAAGCAGUGGGAGCACCUUCGUGGUGUGACUGCGUACCUUUUGUAUAAUGGGUCAGCGACUUAUAUUCAGUAGCAAGGUUAACCGUAUAGGGGAGCCGUAGAGAAAUCGAGUCUUAAUAGGGCGUUUAGUUGCUGGGUAUAGACCCGAAACCAGGCGAUCUAUCCAUGAGCAGGUUGAAGGUUGGGUAACACUAACUGGAGGACCGAACCCACUGUCGUUGAAAAGCCAGGGGAUGACUUGUGGAUAGGGGUGAAAGGCUAAUCAAGCCUGGUGAUAGCUGGUUCUCCCCGAAAGCUAUUUAGGUAGCGCCUCGGACGAAUACCAUAGGGGGUAGAGCACUGUUUCGGCUAGGGGGUCAUCCCGACUUACCAAACCGAUGCAAACUCCGAAUACCUAUGAGUACUAUCCGGGAGACAGACUGCGGGUGCUAACGUCCGUAGUCAAGAGGAAAACAAUCCAGACCGCCAGCUAAGGCCCCAAAAUCAUAGUUAAGUGGGAAACGAUGUGGGAAGGCAUAGACAGCUAGGAGGUUGGCUUAGAAGCAGCCACCCUUUAAAGAAAGCGUAAUAGCUCACUAGUCGAGUCGGCCUGCGCGGAAGAUGUAACGGGGCUAAAACUAUGUGCCGAAGCUGCGGAUNNNNNNNNNNNNNNNNNNNNNNNNNAUGCUGGAGGUAUCAGAAGUGCGAAUGCUGACGUGAGUAACGACAAAACGGGUGAAAAACCCGUUCGCCGAAAGACCAAGGGUUCCAGUCCAACGUUAAUCGGGGCUGGGUGAGUCGACCCCUAAGGCGAGGCCGAAAGGCGUAGUCGAUGGGAAAAUGGUUAAUAUUCCAUUACUUCUGUGUAAUGCGAUGAGAGGACGGAGAAGGCUAAAUCAGCCUGGCGUUGGUUGUCCAGGUGAAAGGAUGUAGGCAUGUAUCUUAGGCAAAUCCGGGGUACUCUAUGCUGAGAUCUGAUAGCAAGCUGUACUUGUACAGCGAAGUGGUUGAUGCCAUGCUUCCAGGAAAAGUCUCUAAGCUUCAGUUACACAGGAAUCGUACCCGAAACCGACACAGGUGGUCAGGUCGAGUAGACCAAGGCGCUUGAGAGAACUCUGCUGAAGGAACUAGGCAAAAUGGUACCGUAACUUCGGGAGAAGGUACGCUGUUGUUGGUGAUGGAACUCGCUUCCUGAGCUGACGACAGCCGCAGAAACCAGGCCGCUGCAACUGUUUAUUAAAAACAUAGCACUCUGCAAACACGAAAGUGGACGUAUAGGGUGUGAUGCCUGCCCGGUGCUGGAAGGUUAAUUGAUGGGGUUAGCGUAAGCGAAGCUCUUGAUCGAAGCCCCAGUAAACGGCGGCCGUAACUAUAACGGUCCUAAGGUAGCGAAAUUCCUUGUCGGGUAAGUUCCGACCUGCACGAAUGGCAUAAUGAUGGCGGCGCUGUCUCCAGCAGAGGCUCAGUGAAAUCGAAAUCGCUGUGAAGAUGCAGUGUACCCGCGGCUAGACGGAAAGACCCCGUGAACCUUUACUGCAGCUUGACACUGAACUUUGACCUUACUUGUGUAGGAUAGGUGGGAGGCUUUGAAGCUGGAACGCUAGUUCCAGUGGAGCCGUCCUUGAAAUACCACCCUGGUAAUGUUGAGGUUCUAACUCUGUCCCGUGAUCCGGGACGAGGACCGUGUCUGGUGGGUAGUUUGACUGGGGCGGUCUCCUCCUAAAGAGUAACGGAGGAGUACGAAGGUGCGCUCAGCGUGGUCGGAAAUCACGCGUAGAGUAUAAAGGCAAAAGCGCGCUUAACUGCGAGACCCACAAGUCGAGCAGGUACGAAAGUAGGUCUUAGUGAUCCGGUGGUUCUGUAUGGAAGGGCCAUCGCUCAACGGAUAAAAGGUACUCUGGGGAUAACAGGCUGAUACCGCCCAAGAGUUCAUAUCGACGGCGGUGUUUGGCACCUCGAUGUCGGCUCAUCUCAUCCUGGGGCUGAAGCAGGUCCCAAGGGUAUGGCUGUUCGCCAUUUAAAGAGGUACGCGAGCUGGGUUUAGAACGUCGUGAGACAGUUCGGUCCCUAUCUACCGUGGGCGCUGGAAAUUUGAGAGGAUCUGCUCCUAGUACGAGAGGACCAGAGUGGACGAACCUCUGGUGUACCGGUUGUGACGCCAGUCGCAUCGCCGGGUAGCUAUGUUCGGAAGGGAUAACCGCUGAAAGCAUCUAAGCGGGAAGCCUACCUCAAGAUAAGAUUUCCCUAGGACUUUAUGUCCUCUAAAGAGCCGUUCGAGACUAGGACGUUGAUAGGUUGGAUGUGGAAGCAUAGUGAUAUGUGAAGCUGACCAAUACUAAUUGCUCGUGAGGCUUGACUAUACAACACCCAAGCAGUUG